UAGGGAAUUUUGCGCAAUGGGGGAAACCCUGACGCAGCAACACCGCGUGAAUGAUUAAGCCCUUCGGGGUGUAAAGUUCUGUCAGUGGGGACGAAACUUGACGGUACCCACAAAGGAAGCACCGGCUAACUCCGUGCCAGCAGCCGCGGUAAUACGGAGGGUGCAAGCGUUGUCCGGAAUCAUUGGGCGUAAAGCGUUCGUAGGCGGUAUAUCAAGUCUGGUGUUAAAGCCCGGGGCUCAACUCCGGUUCGGCACUGGAUACUGGUAAACUAGAAUGCGGUAGAGGUAAGGGGAAUUCCUAGUGUAGCGGUGAAAUGCGUAGAUAUUAGGAGGAACACCAGUGGCGAAGGCGGCUUCCUGGACUGUAACUGACACUGAGGCUCGAAAGUGUGGGUAUCAAACA
This 403-nucleotide ribosomal RNA is filed under the name uncultured bacterium. Its description in RNAcentral is "bacterial SSU rRNA". It matches the Rfam family "Bacterial small subunit ribosomal RNA", at positions 355 to 774 of the family's 1533-position model. The record is from RNAcentral.